AGGAUGAACGCUGGCGGCGUGCUUAACACAUGCAAGUCGAACGAUGAAGGCUGGAGCUUGCUCUGGCUGGAUUAGUGGCGAACGGGUGAGUAACACGUGAGUAACCUGCCCCAGACUCUGGGAUAAGCGCUGGAAACGGCGUCUAAUACCGGAUACGAGCUUCCACCGCAUGGUGAGGAGCUGGAAAGAAUUUCGGUCUGGGAUGGACUCGCGGCCUAUCAGCUUGUUGGUGAGGUAAUGGCUCACCAAGGCGACGACGGGUA
Molecule: ribosomal RNA, 263 nt
Filed under: uncultured soil bacterium
Lineage: Bacteria
Description: partial 16S ribosomal RNA
Rfam family: Bacterial small subunit ribosomal RNA
Source: RNAcentral